Molecule: non-coding RNA, 659 nt
Organism: Nicotiana tabacum (common tobacco)
Lineage: Eukaryota; Viridiplantae; Streptophyta; Magnoliopsida; Solanales; Solanaceae
Source: RefSeq, a predicted model, not a curated record
GGACAGGAUUCCAUCAGGUUGUUAUCAAGUUGAACCCAAAUGAAGACUUGCAAGAAAAAAUAGUAGAUCAGCUUGCUAUUUACAAGGCAGCUGAAGGACUUUUUAAGCUUCGACUUGCUAUUAAACAAAGAACGACGAAGUCACCAGGUGACCAAGUGUUUCUAUAUUUUAUAGCUCUAACUUCAAUGUAUUCUUUAUACUUAUUAACUCUUGAACAUUUUUUUUUUGACUUCUAUAGUUGAAUGGUGGGACCAAUAUGGUGUAGAGACUCCGGAGCUACAGGCUUUCGCCAUCAAAGUUCUAAGCUUAACUUGUAGCUCAUCCGGAUGUGAAAGGAACUGGAGUGGUUUUGAACACAUUCAUACAAAGAAGAGGAAUCGACUAACCUUGAAGCGCCUCCAUAAUCUAGUGUUCAUAAAAUACAAUAGAGCAUUGAGGCGUCGCUACAACCACCGCAAUCUAAUUGAUCCAAUUCUUUUGGACAAUAUUGAUGAGGCUAAUGAGUGGCUAACCGGAGUCCCCGAAAAUUGUGAAGAUGAAGAAGUAUUUGAAGGCGACUCCGAUUUCACUUGGGGUGAUGUUGCGGUUGGUAGUGGAGUUGGGGAAGAUCCUUAUGGUUUAAGGAGAUAUACUCCAAGUUCAAGCUCUAUUAGGAAGGG